RNAcentral lists this ribosomal RNA (468 nucleotides) under uncultured bacterium. RNAcentral describes it as "bacterial SSU rRNA". It matches the Rfam family "Bacterial small subunit ribosomal RNA", at positions 335 to 800 of the family's 1533-position model. The record is from RNAcentral.
ACUCCUACGGGAGGCAGCAGUGGGGAAUAUUGGACAAUGGGCGGAAGCCUGAUCCAGCAACGCCGCGUGAGGGAUGACGGCCUUCGGGUUGUAAACCUCUUUCACCGAUGGCGAAGCCGCUUCUUUUUGGGGUGGUGACGGUAGUCGGAGAAGAAGCACCGGCCAACUACGUGCCAGCAGCCGCGGUAAUACGUAGGGUGCGAGCGUUGUCCGGAAUUACUGGGCGUAAAGCGCAUGCAGGCGGCCUGUUAAGUCAGAUGUGAAAGCCCGGGGCUUAACCUCGGAAUUGCAUUUGAAACUGGCAGGCUAGAGUCUUGUAGAGGGGGUAGGAAUUUCAUGGUGUAGCGGUGAAAUGCAGUAGAGAUCUGAAGGAAUACCAGUGGCGAAGGCGGCCCCUGGACCAAAGACUGACGCUCAGAUGCGAAAGCGUGGGGAGCAAACAGGAUUAGAUACCCUGGUAGGCUCUGC